AGCGAACGCUGGCGGCAGGCCUAACACAUGCAAGUCGAACGAACUCUUCGGAGUUAGUGGCGGACGGGUGAGUAACACGUGGGAACGUGCCUUUUGGUUCGGAAUAACUCAGGGAAACUUGUGCUAAUACCGAAUGCGCCCUUCGGGGGAAAGAUUUAUCGCCAUUAGAGCGGCCCGCGUCUGAUUAGCUAGUUGGUGAGGUAACGGCUCACCAAGGCGACGAUCAGUAGCUGGUCUGAGAGGAUGACCAGCCACACUGGGACUGAGACACGGCCCAGACUCCUACGGGAGGCAGCAGUGGGGAAUCUUGCGCAAUGGGCGAAAGCCUGACGCAGCCAUGCCGCGUGAAUGAUGAAGGUCUUAGGAUUGUAAAAUUCUCUCACCGGGGACGAUAAUGACGGUACCCGGAGAAGAAGCCCCGGCUAACUUCGUG
Molecule: ribosomal RNA, 433 nt
Filed under: uncultured bacterium
Lineage: Bacteria
Description: partial 16S ribosomal RNA
Rfam family: Bacterial small subunit ribosomal RNA
Source: RNAcentral